This 253-nucleotide ribosomal RNA is filed under the name uncultured bacterium. Its description in RNAcentral is "partial 16S ribosomal RNA". It matches the Rfam family "Bacterial small subunit ribosomal RNA", at positions 524 to 776 of the family's 1533-position model. The record is from RNAcentral.
UACGGAGGGUGCAAGCGUUAUCCGGAUUCACUGGGUUUAAAGGGUGCGUAGGCGGGCAUUUAAGUCAGUGGUGAAAUACCUGAGCUUAACUUGGGAACUGCCAUUGAUACUAUAGAUCUUGAAUUUUCUGGAGGUUAGCGGAAUAUGUCAUGUAGCGGUGAAAUGCUUAGAUAUGACAUAGAACACCAAUUGCGAAGGCAGCUAGCUACAGGGAUAUUGACACUGAGGCACGAAAGCGUGGGGAUCAAACAGG